ACGGUGAGUAACACGUAUCCAACCUGCCGUCUACUCUUGGACAGCCUUCUGAAAGGAAGAUUAAUACAAGAUGGCAUCAUGAGUCCGCAUGUUCACAUGAUUAAAGGUAUUCCGGUAGACGAUGAGGAUGCGUUCCAUUAGAUAGUAGGCGGGGUAACGGCCCACCUAGUCUUCGAUGGAUAGGGGUUCUGAGAGGAAGGUCCCCCACAUUGGAACUGAGACACGGUCCAA
Molecule: ribosomal RNA, 231 nt
Filed under: uncultured bacterium
Lineage: Bacteria
Description: partial 16S ribosomal RNA
Rfam family: Bacterial small subunit ribosomal RNA
Source: RNAcentral